This 492-nucleotide ribosomal RNA is filed under the name uncultured bacterium. RNAcentral describes it as "partial 16S ribosomal RNA". It matches the Rfam family "Bacterial small subunit ribosomal RNA", at positions 29 to 507 of the family's 1533-position model. The record is from RNAcentral.
AGUGAACGCUGGCGGUAGGCCUAACACAUGCAAGUCGAACGGCAGCACAGUAAGAGCUUGCUCUUACGGGUGGCGAGUGGCGGACGGGUGAGGAAUACAUCGGAAUCUACUUUUUCGUGGGGGAUAACGUGGGGAAACUUACGCUAAUACCGCAUACGACCUACGGGUGAAAGCAGGGGAUCUUCGGACCUUGCGCGAUUGAAUGAGCCGAUGUCGGAUUAGCUAGUUGGCGGGGUAAAGGCCCACCAAGGCGACGAUCCGUAGCUGGUCUGAGAGGAUGAUCAGCCACACUGGAACUGAGACACGGUCCAGACUCCUACGGGAGGCAGCAGUGGGGAAUAUUGGACAAUGGGCGCAAGCCUGAUCCAGCCAUACCGCGUGGGUGAAGAAGGCCUUCGGGUUGUAAAGCCCUUUUGUUGGGAAAGAAAAGCAGCAGGUUAAUACCCCGCUGUUCUGACGGUACCCAAAGAAUAAGUACCGGCUAACUUCGUG